GACGAACGCUGGCGGCGUGCCUAAUACAUGCAAGUUGAGCGCUGAAGGUUGGUACUUGUACCAACUGGAUGAGCAGCGAACGGGUGAGUAACGCGUGGGGAAUCUGCCUUUGAGCGGGGGACAACAUUUGGAAACGAAUGCUAAUACCGCAUAAAAACUUUAAACACAAGUUUUAAGUUUGAAAGAUGCAAUUGCAUCACUCAAAGAUGAUCCCGCGUUGUAUUAGCUAGUUGGUGAGGUAAAGGCUCACCAAGGCGAUGAUACAUAGCCGACCUGAGAGGGUGAUCGGCCACAUUGGGACUGAGACACGGCCCAAACUCCUACGGGAGGCAGCAGUAGGGAAUCUUCGGCAAUGGACGAAAGUCUGACCGAGCAACGCCGCGUGAGUGAAGAAGGUUUUCGGAUCGUAAAACUCUGUUGGUAGAGAAGAACGCUGGUGAGAGUGGAAAGCUCAUCAAGUGACGGGAACUACCCAGAAAGGGACGGCUAACUACGU
This 496-nucleotide ribosomal RNA is filed under the name uncultured bacterium. RNAcentral's name for it is "partial 16S ribosomal RNA". It matches the Rfam family "Bacterial small subunit ribosomal RNA", at positions 28 to 506 of the family's 1533-position model. The record is from RNAcentral.